RNAcentral lists this transfer RNA (75 nucleotides) under Clostridiales bacterium. Its description in RNAcentral is "tRNA-Gln". It matches the Rfam family "tRNA". Rfam says of the family: Transfer RNA (tRNA) molecules are approximately 80 nucleotides in length. Lineage: Bacteria; Bacillati; Bacillota; Clostridia; Eubacteriales. The record is from RNAcentral.
UGGGGUAUCGCCAAGCGGUAAGGCAAAGGACUUUGACUCCUUCACUCGGUGGUUCGAAUCUACCUACCCCAGCCA